UACGUAGGGUGCAAGCGUUUAAUCGGAAUUACUGGGCGUAAAGCGUGCGCAGGCGGUUCGCUAAGACAGAUGUGAAAUCCCCGGGCUUAACCUGGGAACUGCAUUUGUGACUGGCGGGCUAGAGUAUGGCAGAGGGGGGGUAGAAUUCCACGUGUAGCAGUGAAAUGCGUAGAGAUGUGGAGGAAUACCGAUGGCGAAGGCAGCCCCCUGGGCCAAUACUGACGCUCAUGCACGAAAGCGUGGGGAGCAAAC
This 252-nucleotide ribosomal RNA is filed under the name uncultured bacterium. Its description in RNAcentral is "partial 16S ribosomal RNA". It matches the Rfam family "Bacterial small subunit ribosomal RNA", at positions 524 to 773 of the family's 1533-position model. The record is from RNAcentral.